Molecule: transfer RNA, 76 nt
Filed under: Candidatus Gottesmanbacteria bacterium
Lineage: Bacteria; Candidatus Gottesmaniibacteriota
Description: tRNA-Asp
Rfam family: tRNA
About the family: Transfer RNA (tRNA) molecules are approximately 80 nucleotides in length. Their secondary structure includes four short double-helical elements and three loops (D, anti-codon, and T loops). Further hydrogen bonds mediate the characteristic L-shaped molecular structure. tRNAs have two regions of fundamental functional importance: the anti-codon, which is responsible for specific mRNA codon recognition, and the 3' end, to which the tRNAs corresponding amino acid is attached (by aminoacyl-tRNA synthetases). tRNAs cope with the degeneracy of the genetic code in two manners: having more than one tRNA (with a specific anti-codon) for a particular amino acid; and 'wobble' base-pairing, i.e. permitting non-standard base-pairing at the 3rd anti-codon position.
Source: RNAcentral
GGACCCGUGGUGUAGCCUGGUCUAACACGUUUCCCUGUCAAGGAAAAGAUCGCCGGUUCGAAUCCGGUCGGGUCCG